AUGAACGCUGGCGGCGUGCCUCAUACAUGCAAGUCGAGCGAACAGACGAGGAGCUUGCUCCUCUGACGUUAGCGGCGGACGGGUGAGUAACACGUGGAUAACCUACCUAUAAGACUGGGAUAACUUCGGUAAACCGGAGCUAAUACCGGAUAAUAUAUUGAACCGCAUGGUUCAAUAGUGAAAGACGGUUUUGCUGUCACUUAUAGAUGGAUCCGCGCCGCAUUAGCUAGUUGGUAAGGUAACGGCUUACCAAGGCAACGAUGCGUAGCCGACCUGAGAGGGUGAUCGGCCACACUGGAACUGAGACACGGUCCAGACUCCUACGGGAGGCAGCAGUAGGGAAUCUUCCGCAAUGGGCGAAAGCCUGACGGAGCAACGCCGCGUGAGUGAUGAAGGUCUUCGGAUCGUAAAACUCUGUUAUUAGGGAAGAACAAAUGUGUAAGUAACUAUGCACGUCUUGACGGUACCUAAUCAGAAAGCCACGGCUAACUACGUG
Molecule: ribosomal RNA, 496 nt
Filed under: uncultured bacterium
Lineage: Bacteria
Description: partial 16S ribosomal RNA
Rfam family: Bacterial small subunit ribosomal RNA
Source: RNAcentral